Molecule: ribosomal RNA, 264 nt
Filed under: uncultured bacterium
Lineage: Bacteria
Description: partial 16S ribosomal RNA
Rfam family: Bacterial small subunit ribosomal RNA
Source: RNAcentral
CCUACGGGACGCAGCAGUGAGGAAUAUUGGUCAAUGGGCGCGAGCCUGAACCAGCCAAGCCGCGUGAGGGAAGACGGUCCUAUGGAUUGUAAACUUCUUUUGUCGGGGAACAAAAGACGCCACGCGUGGCGCUGCGAGAGUACCCGAAGAAAAAGCAUCGGCUAACUCCGUGCCAGCAGCCGCGGUAAUACGGAGGAUGCGAGCGUUAUCCGGAUUUAUUGGGUUUAAAGGGUGCGUAGGCGGUCUGUUAAGUCAGCGGUAAAA